CUCUCCACUUCGCCAUUUACCGCGCCGGUGCUUCUCGUCCGCAAGUCAGACGGCACAUGGCGUUUCUGCAUCGACUACCGUGCCCUUAAUGAUGUCACACUUAAGGACAAGUUCCCUAUUCCGGUGGUCGACGAGCUCCACGGGGCGCGCUUCUUCACCAAACUUGACCUCCGGUCGGGGUACCACCAGGUGCGCAUGCACCCGGAUGACAUCGCCAAGACGGCGUUUCGGACUCAUCACGGCCACUUCGAGUUCUUGGUGAUGCCCUUUGGCCUCACCAACGCCCCGGCGACCUUCCAGGCUUUGAUGAAC
Molecule: ribosomal RNA, 312 nt
Filed under: Triticum aestivum (bread wheat)
Lineage: Eukaryota; Viridiplantae; Streptophyta; Magnoliopsida; Poales; Poaceae
Description: partial small subunit ribosomal RNA
Source: RNAcentral